Molecule: ribosomal RNA, 253 nt
Filed under: uncultured bacterium
Lineage: Bacteria
Description: partial 16S ribosomal RNA
Rfam family: Bacterial small subunit ribosomal RNA
Source: RNAcentral
UACAGAGGUCUCGAGCGUUGUUCGGAUUCAUUGGGCGUAAAGGGUGCGUAGGCGGCUCGGUAAGUCGGAUGUGAAAUCCCGGGGCUCAACCCCGGAACUGCAUUCGAUACUGCGUUACUUGAGUACUGGAGAGGAGACUGGAAUUUACGGUGUAGCAGUGAAAUGCGUAGAUAUCGUAAGGAAGACCAGUGGCGAAGGCGAGUCUCUGGACAGUUACUGACGCUGAGGCACGAAGGCCAGGGGAGCAAACGGG